Long non-coding RNA from Parus major (Great Tit), 407 nucleotides. RefSeq lists it as uncharacterized. The transcript has 3 exons. Lineage: Eukaryota; Metazoa; Chordata; Aves; Passeriformes; Paridae. The record is from RefSeq and is a predicted model, not a curated record.
UUACUGAGCAUUGUAAAAGUUUCCAUUUUAUUCUUUCAUGCAGGACAUUCCUUGAGCUACACCUUUAAGUUUCUCAGUGGUUAAAAAGGAGUCAAAAUGCUGUUUCAGGUCAGCUCAUUCUUAUUUCAACAAAGACAGACUUCCAGCUCCAAGCAUGUCUGCUCAAAUUCAGAUCUCACAAAGGCUUUGCAUGGAGUGAUCACCAAAGCAGGAACCUGAGGAUCAGGAGCUGCUUGCCAGGUCUGACUUUGUGACACUUCAGCCCCUCCUGCCUUCCUUCUCAAAUGGCUGUCCAGAGGAGGGGGACAAGCUGUGAAAGCACCAUGGUGAAGCCUUCCAUCUGUGCUACCUCAGCUUCCAGAGGUGUUUUGUUCAUGUGUCUGAAAGUUUGUAAGUAAAUCCUCUCA